GUCCACGCCCUAAACGAUGUCUACUAGUUGUCGGGUCUUAAUUGACUUGGUAACGCAGCUAACGCGUGAAGUAGACCGCCUGGGGAGUACGGUCGCAAGAUUAAAACUCAAAGGAAUUGACGGGGACCCGCACAAGCGGUGGAUGAUGUGGAUUAAUUCGAUGCAACGCGAAAACCUUACCUACCCUUGACAUGGAUGGAAUCCUUGAGAGAUUGAGGAGUGCCCGAAAGGGAGCCAUUACACAGGUGCUGCAUGGCUGUCGU
This 263-nucleotide ribosomal RNA is filed under the name uncultured bacterium. RNAcentral's name for it is "partial 16S ribosomal RNA". It matches the Rfam family "Bacterial small subunit ribosomal RNA", at positions 793 to 1055 of the family's 1533-position model. The record is from RNAcentral.